Molecule: ribosomal RNA, 536 nt
Filed under: Saccharomyces cerevisiae (brewer's yeast)
Lineage: Eukaryota; Fungi; Ascomycota; Saccharomycetes; Saccharomycetales; Saccharomycetaceae
Description: LSU rRNA
Rfam family: Eukaryotic large subunit ribosomal RNA
Source: RNAcentral
CAACCGGGAUUGCCUUAGUAACGGCGAGUGAAGCGGCAAAAGCUCAAAUUUGAAAUCUGGUACCUUCGGUGCCCGAGUUGUAAUUUGGAGAGGGCAACUUUGGGGCCGUUCCUUGUCUAUGUUCCUUGGAACAGGACGUCAUAGAGGGUGAGAAUCCCGUGUGGCGAGGAGUGCGGUUCUUUGUAAAGUGCCUUCGAAGAGUCGAGUUGUUUGGGAAUGCAGCUCUAAGUGGGUGGUAAAUUCCAUCUAAAGCUAAAUAUUGGCGAGAGACCGAUAGCGAACAAGUACAGUGAUGGAAAGAUGAAAAGAACUUUGAAAAGAGAGUGAAAAAGUACGUGAAAUUGUUGAAAGGGAAGGGCAUUUGAUCAGACAUGGUGUUUUGUGCCCUCUGCUCCUUGUGGGUAGGGGAAUCUCGCAUUUCACUGGGCCAGCAUCAGUUUUGGUGGCAGGAUAAAUCCAUAGGAAUGUAGCUUGCCUCGGUAAGUAUUAUAGCCUGUGGGAAUACUGCCAGCUGGGACUGAGGACUGCGACGUAAG